AGGCAGCAGUGGGGNAAUAUUGGACAAUGGGCGAAAGCCUGAUCCAGCAAUGCCGCGUGAGUGAUGAAGGCCUUAGGGUUGUAAAGCUCUUUUACCCGGGAUGAUAAUGACAGUACCGGGAGAAUAAGCUCCGGCUAACUCCGUGCCAGCAGCCGCGGUAAUACGGAGGGAGCUAGCGUUGUUCGGAAUUACUGGGCGUAAAGCGCACGUAGGCGGCUAUUUAAGUCAGAGGUGAAAGCCCGGGGCUCAACCCCGGAAUNGCCUUUGAAACUGGAUCGCUAGAAUCUUGGAGAGGCGAGUGGAAUUCCGAGUGUAGAGGUGAAAUUCGUAGAUAUUCGGAAGAACACCAGUGGCGAAGGCGGCUCNCUGGACCAGUAUUGACGCUGAGGUGCGAAAGCGUGGGGAGCAAACAGGAUUAAAUACCUGGGUAG
Molecule: ribosomal RNA, 431 nt
Filed under: uncultured bacterium
Lineage: Bacteria
Description: bacterial SSU rRNA
Rfam family: Bacterial small subunit ribosomal RNA
Source: RNAcentral